GACGAACGCUGGCGGCGUGGAUUAGGCAUGCAAGUCGAACGGUAUCAUCCUUUCGGGGGUGAGAGAGUGGCGAACUGGUGAGUAACACGUAGGUUAUCUACCCUCAAGACGGGGACAACCCAGGGAAACUUGGGCUAAUACCGGAUGUGAGCAACUUUUAGUUGUUUGAAAGGUGGCGUAAGCUGUCGCUUGGGGAUGAGCCUGCGUCCUAUUAGUUAGUUGGUGAGGUAACGGCUCACCUAGGCAAUGAUAGGUAGGCGGCCUUAACGGGUGGUCGCCCACACUGGGAUUGAGAUACGGCCCAGACUCCUACGGGAGCAGCAGUCGAGAAUAGUCUACAAUGGUCGGAAGACUGAUAGUGCGACGCCGCGUGAACGAUGAAUCCCUUCGGGGUUAAAGUUCUUUUAUAUGUGAGCAGUGCUUCUUAUAUUAACAGUAUGGGGAAGAGAUAUUAGCAUAUGAAAUAAGCAACGGCUAACUCCGUGCCCAGCCAGCCCGCGGUAAGA
RNAcentral lists this ribosomal RNA (506 nucleotides) under uncultured bacterium. RNAcentral's name for it is "bacterial SSU rRNA". It matches the Rfam family "Bacterial small subunit ribosomal RNA", at positions 28 to 525 of the family's 1533-position model. The record is from RNAcentral.